RNAcentral lists this ribosomal RNA (661 nucleotides) under bacterium SCSIO13091. RNAcentral's name for it is "bacterial SSU rRNA". It matches the Rfam family "Bacterial small subunit ribosomal RNA", at positions 57 to 717 of the family's 1533-position model. The record is from RNAcentral.
GCAGUCGAACGGUAGGUUUCUUUUCGGAGAGACUGAGAGUGGCGCACGGGUGCGUAACGCGUAUGCAACCUGCCUUCCACAGGGGGAUAGCCCGGGGAAACCCGGAUUAAUACCCCAUGGCACAGCGAGAUGGCAUCAUCAUGCUGUUAAAGAUUCAUCGGUGGAAGAUGGGCAUGCGUAGGAUUAGCUAGUUGGUGCGGUAACGGCGUACCAAGGCGACGAUCCUUAGGGGUUCUGAGAGGAAGGUCCCCCACACUGGCACUGAGAUACGGGCCAGACUCCUACGGGAGGCAGCAGUAGGGAAUAUUGGUCAAUGGGCGGGAGCCUGAACCAGCCAUGCCGCGUGCAGGAAGACGGCGUUCUGCGUUGUAAACUGCUUUUAUACGGGAAGAAAAGGCCCAUGCGUGGGACAUUGCCGGUACCGUAUGAAUAAGCACCGGCUAACUCCGUGCCAGCAGCCGCGGUAAUACGGAGGGUGCAAGCGUUGUCCGGAUUUAUUGGGUUUAAAGGGUGCGUAGGCGGCCCUAUAAGUCAGCGGUGAAAGUUUCCGGCUCAACCGGGAAAUUGCCGUUGAUACUGUAGGGCUUGAGUGCCGAUGGGGUACAUGGAAUUUAUGGUGUAGCGGUGAAAUGCAUAGAUACCAUAAGGAACACCGAUAGCG